This 253-nucleotide ribosomal RNA is filed under the name uncultured bacterium. RNAcentral describes it as "partial 16S ribosomal RNA". It matches the Rfam family "Bacterial small subunit ribosomal RNA", at positions 524 to 776 of the family's 1533-position model. The record is from RNAcentral.
UACGAAGGGGGCUAGCGUUGCUCGGAAUCACUGGGCGUAAAGCGCACGUAGGCGGCUUUCUAAGUCAGGGGUGAAAUCCUGGAGCUCAACUCCAGAACUGCCUUCGAUACUGGGAAGCUCGAGUCCGGAAGAGGUGAGUGGAACUCCGAGUGUAGAGGUGAAAUUCGUAGAUAUUCGGAAGAACACCAGUGGCGAAGGCGGCUCACUGGUCCGGUACUGACGCUGAGGUGCGAAAGCGUGGGGAGCAAACAGG